Molecule: ribosomal RNA, 495 nt
Filed under: uncultured bacterium
Lineage: Bacteria
Description: bacterial SSU rRNA
Rfam family: Bacterial small subunit ribosomal RNA
Source: RNAcentral
GACGAACGCUGGCGGCGUGCUUAACACAUGCAAGUCGAACGAGAGGAGAAGGAAGCUUGCUUCUUUCGAAUCUAGUGGCAAACGGGUGAGUAACACGUAAACAACCUGCCUUCAGGAUGGGGACAACAGACGGAAACGACUGCUAAUACCGAAUACGUUCCUUAGGUCGCAUGACUUUAGGAAGAAAGGGUGGCCUCUAUUUAUAAGCUAUCGCUAGAGGAUGGGCCUGCGUCUGAUUAGCUAGUUGGUGGGGUAACGGCCUACCAAGCCGACGAUCAGUAGCCGGUCUGAGAGGAUGAACGGCCACACUGGAACUGAGACACGGUCCAGACUCCUACGGGAGGCAGCAGUGGGGAAUCUUCCGCAAUGGGCGAAAGCCUGACGGAGCAACGCCGCGUGAGUGAUGACGGCCUUCGGGUUGUAAAGCUCUGUGAUCGGGGACGAACGGUCAGCAGACGAAUACUACUGCUGAAGUGACGGUACCCGAAUAGCAAG